AACGAACGCUGGCGGCAUGCCUAACACAUGCAAGUCGAACGAGACCUUCGGGUAUAGUGGCGCACGGGUGCGUAACGCGUGGGAACCUGCCCUUAGGUUCGGAAUAACUCCCCGAAAGGGGUGCUAAUACCGGAUAAUGUCUUCGGACCAAAGAUUUAUCGCCUUUGGAUGGGCCCGCGUUGGAUUCGCUAGUUGGUAGGGUAAAAGCCUACCAAGGCGACGAUCCAUAGCUGGUCUGAGAGGAUGAUCAGCCACACUGGGACUGAGACACGGCCCAGACUCCUACGGGAGGCAGCAGUGGGGAAUAUUGGACAAUGGGCGAAAGGCUGAUCCAGCAAGGCCGCGUGAGUGAUGAAGGCCUUAGGGUUGUAAAGCUCUUUUACCCGGGAUGAUAAUGACAGUACCGGGAGAAUAAGCUCCGGCUAACUCCGUG
Molecule: ribosomal RNA, 433 nt
Filed under: uncultured bacterium
Lineage: Bacteria
Description: partial 16S ribosomal RNA
Rfam family: Bacterial small subunit ribosomal RNA
Source: RNAcentral